Molecule: ribosomal RNA, 468 nt
Filed under: uncultured bacterium
Lineage: Bacteria
Description: partial 16S ribosomal RNA
Rfam family: Bacterial small subunit ribosomal RNA
Source: RNAcentral
GACGAACGCUGGCGGCGUGCUUAACACAUGCAAGUCGAACGGAAAGGCCCUGCUUUUGUGGGGUGCUCGAGUGGCGAACGGGUGAGUAACACGUGAGUAACCUGCCCUUGACUUUGGGAUAACUUCAGGAAACUGGGGCUAAUACCGGAUAGGAGCUCCUGCUGCAUGGUGGGGGUUGGAAAGUUUCGGCGGUUGGGGAUGGACUCGCGGCUUAUCAGCUUGUUGGUGGGGUAGUGGCUUACCAAGGCUUUGACGGGUAGCCGGCCUGAGAGGGUGACCGGCCACAUUGGGACUGAGAUGCGACCCAGACUACUACGGGAGGCAGCAGUGGGGAAUAUUGCACAAUGGGCGGAAGCCUGAUGCAGCAACGCCGCGUGCGGGAUGACGGCCUUCGGGUUGUAAACCGCUUUCGCCUGUGACGAAGCGUGAGUGACGGUAAUGGGUAAAGAAGCACCGGCUAACUACGUG